AAAAGUUAUCUUCCAGCCGA
This 20-nucleotide microRNA is filed under the name Drosophila virilis. RNAcentral describes it as "dvi-miR-9721-3p". The record is from miRBase by way of RNAcentral. Lineage: Eukaryota; Metazoa; Arthropoda; Insecta; Diptera; Drosophilidae.